RNAcentral lists this ribosomal RNA (494 nucleotides) under uncultured bacterium. RNAcentral's name for it is "partial 16S ribosomal RNA". It matches the Rfam family "Bacterial small subunit ribosomal RNA", at positions 28 to 507 of the family's 1533-position model. The record is from RNAcentral.
GACGAACGCUGGCGGCGCGCUUAACACAUGCAAGUCGAACGGAAAGGCCUGCUUUCCCUUGUGGAUUGCGGGUACUCGAGUGGCGAACGGGUGAGUAACACGUGAGUGAUCUGCCCCCAACUUGGGUAUAAGCCUGGGAAACUGGGUCUAAUUCCCGAUAGGACUGCAGGGUGGUGCCUGUGGUGGAAAACGAUUUUCUAGUGGUUGUGGAUGAGCUCGCGGCCUAUCAGCUUGUUGGUGGGGUAAUGGCCUACCAAGGCGGCGACGGGUAGCCGGCCUGAGAGGGUGGACGGCCGCAUUGGGACUGAGAUACGGCCCAGAGUCCGACGGGAGGCAGCAGUGGGGAAGAUUGCACAAUGGGCGGAAGCCUGAUGCAGCGACGCCGCGUGGGGGAUGACGGCCUGCGGGUUGUAAACUCCUUUCGACCGCGAGGAAGCCACCUGGUUGGAAGGGUGGUGACGGUAGUGGUAGAAGAAGCACCGGCUAACUACGUG